GCGCUAAUAGCUCAGUGGUAGAGCGGCCGACUGCAAAGUUCCUAGUAGCAAUGCCAGGACUUAGCGUGAUCGUCAGGUCGCCGGUUCGAUCCCGGCUUGGCGCU
Molecule: transfer RNA, 104 nt
Filed under: Rhodotorula toruloides
Lineage: Eukaryota; Fungi; Basidiomycota; Microbotryomycetes; Sporidiobolales; Sporidiobolaceae
Description: tRNA-Cys
Rfam family: tRNA
About the family: Transfer RNA (tRNA) molecules are approximately 80 nucleotides in length. Their secondary structure includes four short double-helical elements and three loops (D, anti-codon, and T loops). Further hydrogen bonds mediate the characteristic L-shaped molecular structure. tRNAs have two regions of fundamental functional importance: the anti-codon, which is responsible for specific mRNA codon recognition, and the 3' end, to which the tRNAs corresponding amino acid is attached (by aminoacyl-tRNA synthetases). tRNAs cope with the degeneracy of the genetic code in two manners: having more than one tRNA (with a specific anti-codon) for a particular amino acid; and 'wobble' base-pairing, i.e. permitting non-standard base-pairing at the 3rd anti-codon position.
Source: RNAcentral